AAUCACACUACGAUCCCAGCGCGAUCCUCCAGCGUGAUUCGCCAGCCUGGAGCAUGCCGCCGUGAGGCUGUGAGGUUUACUGCACACCUGUGGGACAGGGGGAGUAAGGAGAUCCGGCCUGCUCCUGGACUCCGCCCCCUCUCAGGUGCAGGAGCAGACUCCGCCCCCGCCUCAGACUUCAGAUGCCCAGUGAAGACCUGACUGUUAAUUCUGAGCUACAUGGGCCCCCAACAAGCCGUCCCUCUGCAGGUUUACAGUAAACAGCACUUAGACCUGAGAAAUCCCAC
Molecule: long non-coding RNA, 287 nt
Organism: Anguilla anguilla (European eel)
Lineage: Eukaryota; Metazoa; Chordata; Actinopteri; Anguilliformes; Anguillidae
Exons: 3
Source: RefSeq, a predicted model, not a curated record